UGGGGAAUAUUGCACAAUGGGCGCAAGCCUGAUGCAGCCAUGCCGCGUGUAUGAAGAAGGCCUUCGGGUUGUAAAGUACUUUCAGCGGGGAGGAAGGUGUUGUGGUUAAUAACCACAGCAAUUGACGUUACCCGCAGAAGAAGCACCGGCUAACUCCGUGCCAGCAGCCGCGGUAAUACGGAGGGUGCAAGCGUUAAUCGGAAUUACUGGGCGUAAAGCGCACGCAGGCGGUCUGUCAAGUCGGAUGUGAAAUCCCCGGUCUCAACCUGGGAACUGCAUCCGAAACUGGCAGGCUUGAGUCUUGUAGAGGGGGGUAGAAUUCCAGGUGUAGCGGUGAAAUGCGUAGAGAUCUGGAGGAAUACCGGUGGCGAAGGCGGCCCCCUGGACAAAGACUGACGCUCAGGUGCGAAAGCGUGGGGAGCAAGCA
This 427-nucleotide ribosomal RNA is filed under the name uncultured bacterium. Its description in RNAcentral is "partial 16S ribosomal RNA". It matches the Rfam family "Bacterial small subunit ribosomal RNA", at positions 355 to 774 of the family's 1533-position model. The record is from RNAcentral.